Molecule: long non-coding RNA, 1333 nt
Filed under: Ursus americanus (American black bear)
Lineage: Eukaryota; Metazoa; Chordata; Mammalia; Carnivora; Ursidae
Description: lncRNA (ENSUAMG00000021907.1)
Source: RNAcentral
GCUGGCUGGUGGGUCUUGCCAGUUGCUUGGCCCGGUGAGUCCGUGGUGAAGGAAUUGAGCCGAAAUUCUCUGGAAACUGUUGGUGUCUGCAAGUGAGUGUGGGUCCCCUCCCCCAUUCUCGAUCGUUCCAAGCGAAAUCGACACACAUACGCUUUGGGGAAAAAUUGGGAGUGGGAGUGGGGAUCGAACAUUAAGGAACCAAACCAUCGUGAUUUCCGUUCCUGCCGGACCCCUCACACCCGCUUUACCCGACCGCUUUCCCAGAAGGGGGUGGCGAGGGCAGGGGUAUGCGCCUCGGCUGCUGCGGCGUUUGAAUAUUGGCCCCUGUCUCUCGGGUUACUGAUUAGCUCGGGCUUUCAAGCCCCAGGAGGAAGCUCUGGCUGCUCCUUUCAAGGUGCUGUGGCCCCAGUUCCUGGGCAGGGGCUCCAGGAAAUUGCCUGCGGUGCCAGGCAGGCCGAGGUGUUACUAGGGUCUGGCCCAGAGCUGGAGGAGCUGCCGAGGUCGAGGGGACCCAGCCGUGCCGGGGGGCAAACCCAGCGGCUGCGGUCCCCGCAUCUAUGGCACCUCGAGUCUGGACCACAGGAGCUGCCCUUUCAGCUUUCCGGCAGCAAGAGUGACCUUCAGCGGCCAGAAGGCCGGGCCCAGUGCGGAGGCCCCCAGGGAGCCGCUGGACGCUGGAAAGUCUUGGGCCCCGAUUUCUUGUGGGCAACCCGAAGGACAGAUACACACUUCCUCAGUGAGGCUGGGAGAGACACCCCAGACUGGCAGACAGCUCUGUGCCUGGUGGGUAUUUACUUAUUCCCCCUUGGAGACAGACAGACAGACAGACAGACGGUGGUGGUGGACCGAACCACAGACAAAUUCGUAGAGAUCUGGCUCCAGAAACCAGGCGGCCUCUGGCCGGGCCCUGCCCGUCUGCUCUUUCUCCCAAACAAACGGAUCAGACGAAUAAACGCUCAUAAAUACCUCUGGGCUUAGAUAAGAGCGAUGAGGCGCUAUUUCCUUUCAUGCCGGACUCCAGGCGCCCAGGCCCUGCCUUUGCGGCUCCAUCUCACAACAGGCAACCUGCAGAGGUGACGUUAAUUUGGGGCUGUGACUCUUAAGGACAAGGCAGUCAUUUUGGUGCUCCUAUCACAGGGAAGUUUCCCUCCCUUACGACAUCCUACUUGGUCCAGACUCUACAGUAUGCCCACACCGUCCAGUUCUAGGAAGGGGACAUUGUGGCCAGGGAGGAGGCAGGACGGAUGUGGUCCAAGGCCCAGCCUCAGUGGCAGGGAGGAGGGAGGUGCACACAGGCACUCUGCUGACCUUGCUCCCCCAGACCAAAUGUUUC